AAACUUUUUAAUUCUUUGCAAUGAAAGUUUCCUGGAUAAUUCCAUGAGUUUUUAUAAUCAUAGAGACAGUUUUAACCUUACUUAUUCAUUACCAAAAAUAAAGACUAUCGUUACAACUUAUUCUCUAUAGAUGCAAACAAUCUCCUCUAUUUUGACAUCAAAAAAGGCAAAGACAAAACACAAAUUCCAUGGACAAGGAUGAAAACAGUAUGAUCUUCAAAUGUAUUUUGUUAAUUUACUGUUUCUUUUUGGUUUUGUUUGUCUGUCUCACUGUAUGUUUAUCUUGCAAGAGCCUACAGAAGUGAGAGAAAAUAUCUGUAGGCUAAUUUUAAACAACAUGAGAGAGGUAUUAAGAACUAAACAAAACUCUUCAAGUCACAAUCCCCUGCACAGACUACAUACAAGUUACUUUUAAACCUGAAGUC
This 425-nucleotide long non-coding RNA is filed under the name Bos taurus (domestic cattle). RNAcentral describes it as "long non-coding RNA NONBTAT011648". The record is from RNAcentral. Lineage: Eukaryota; Metazoa; Chordata; Mammalia; Artiodactyla; Bovidae.